UGGGGAAUAUUGCACAAUGGGCGCAAGCCUGAUGCAGCCAUGCCGCGUGUAUGAAGAAGGCCUUCGGGUUGUAAAGUACUUUCAGCGGGGAGGAAGGUGUUGAGGUUAAUAACCUCAGCAAUUGAUGUUACCCGCAGAAGAAGCACCGGCUAACUCCGUGCCAGCAGCCGCGGUAAUACGGAGGGUGCAAGCGUUAAUCGGAAUUACUGGGCGUAAAGCGCACGCAGGCGGUCUGUCAAGUCGGAUGUGAAAUCCCCGGGCUCAACCUGGGAACUGCAUUCGAAACUGGCAGGCUAGAGUCUUGUAGAGGGGGGUAGAAUUCCAGGUGUAGCGGUGAAAUGCGUAGAGAUCUGGAGGAAUACCGGUGGCGAAGGCGGCCCCCUGGACAAAGACUGACGCUCAGGUGCGAAAGCGUGGGGAGCAAACA
This 427-nucleotide ribosomal RNA is filed under the name uncultured bacterium. RNAcentral describes it as "partial 16S ribosomal RNA". It matches the Rfam family "Bacterial small subunit ribosomal RNA", at positions 355 to 774 of the family's 1533-position model. The record is from RNAcentral.